Molecule: ribosomal RNA, 512 nt
Filed under: uncultured bacterium
Lineage: Bacteria
Description: partial 16S ribosomal RNA
Rfam family: Bacterial small subunit ribosomal RNA
Source: RNAcentral
GACGAACGCUGGCGGCGUGCCUAAUACAUGCAAGUCGAGCGGAUCUUCAUUAGCUUGCUUUUGAAGAUCAGCGGCGGACGGGUGAGUAACACGUGGGCAACCUGCCUGUAAGACUGGGAUAACUUCGGGAAACCGGAGCUAAUACCGGAUAAUCCUUUUCCUCUCAUGAGGAAAAGUUGAAAGACGGUUUCGGCUGUCACUUACAGAUGGGCCCGCGGCGCAUUAGCUAGUUGGUGAGGUAACGGCUCACCAAGGCGACGAUGCGUAGCCGACCUGGGCGGGUGAUCGGCCACACUGGGACUGAGACACGGCCCAGACUCCUACGGGAGGCAGCAGUGGGGAAUCUUCCGUAAUGGACGAAAGUCUGACGGAGCAACGCCGCGUGAGCGAUGAAGGCCUUCGGGUCGUAAAGCUCUGUUGUCAGGGAAGAACAAGUACCGGAGUAACUGCCGGUACCUUGACGGUACCUGACCAGAAAGCCACGGCUAACUACGUGCCAGCAGCCGCCGUAA